Molecule: transfer RNA, 142 nt
Filed under: Dreissena polymorpha
Lineage: Eukaryota; Metazoa; Mollusca; Bivalvia; Myida; Dreissenidae
Rfam family: tRNA
About the family: Transfer RNA (tRNA) molecules are approximately 80 nucleotides in length. Their secondary structure includes four short double-helical elements and three loops (D, anti-codon, and T loops).
Source: Rfam by way of RNAcentral
GUCGUGGUGGCCGAGUGGUUAAGGUGUUUGACUCGAAAUCCAAUCCUACGGAGACACUCGGUCGUAGUUGCCAAGUGGUUAUGGCGUGUUACUCGAAAUCAAAUAGACUUUUCUCGCACAGGUUCGAAUCUUGUCCACGACG